This 247-nucleotide unclassified non-coding RNA is filed under the name plant metagenome. RNAcentral's name for it is "partial contains small subunit ribosomal RNA, internal transcribed spacer 1, and 5.8S ribosomal RNA". The stretch from base 1 to 54 matches the Rfam family "Eukaryotic small subunit ribosomal RNA", at positions 1778 to 1831 of the family's 1831-position model. The record is from RNAcentral.
GGAAGUAAAAGUCAUAACAAGGUCUCCGUUGGUGAACCAGCGGAGGGAUCAUUACAGGACCCGCAAGACUCCUACAACCCUGUGAACUUAACUAUAAGCACGUUGCUUCGGCGGGUGUCUCGGAGGGGGUUCUCCCUCCCCGAGACGCUAAACCCGCCGGCAGCCUACUAUACUCUGUCUCUUUGCGUUGGCAUCUCGAGUACAAUCAAACAAGUUAAAACUUUCAGCAACGGAUCUCUUGGUUCUG